RNAcentral lists this ribosomal RNA (253 nucleotides) under uncultured Lachnospiraceae bacterium. RNAcentral's name for it is "partial 16S ribosomal RNA". It matches the Rfam family "Bacterial small subunit ribosomal RNA", at positions 524 to 776 of the family's 1533-position model. Lineage: Bacteria; Bacillati; Bacillota; Clostridia; Lachnospirales; Lachnospiraceae. The record is from RNAcentral.
UACGUAGGGGGCAAGCGUUAUCCGGAAUUACUGGGUGUAAAGGGAGCGUAGACGGUGAUGCAAGUCAGAAGUGAAAGCCCGGGGCUCAACUCCGGGACUGCUUUUGAAACUGUGUGACUGGAGUGCAGGAGAGGUAAGCGGAAUUCCUGGUGUAGCGGUGAAAUGCAUAGAUAUCACGCAGAACUCCGAUUGCGAAGGCAGCUUACUAAGCCAUAACUGACACUGAAGCACGAAAGCGUGGGGAUCAAACAGG